GACGAAUGCUGGCUGCGUGCUUAACACAUGCAAGUCGAACGGUGAAGGGGAGCUUGCUCCCCGGAUCAGUGGCGAACGGGUGAGUAUCACGUGGGCAACCUGCCCCUCACUCUGGGAUAACUCCGGGAAACCGGGGCUAAUACCGGAUACGACCGGGAGCGACAUCGCUCCUGGUGGAAAGAACUUCGGUGAGGGAUGGGCCCGCGGCCUAUCAGCGAGUUGGUGGGGUAACGGCCUACCAAGGCGAGGACGGGUAGCCGGCCUGAGAGGGCGACCGGCCACACUGGGUCUGAGACACGGCCCAGACUCCUACGGGAGGCAGCAGUGGGGAAUAUUGCGCAGUGGGCGAAAGCCUGACGCAGCGACGCAGCGUGAGGGACGAAGGCCUUCGGGUUGUAAACCUCUUUCAGCGGGGACGAAGCGAAAGUGACGGUACCCGCAGAAGAAGCACCGGCUAACUACGUGCCAGCAGCCGCCGCCG
RNAcentral lists this ribosomal RNA (481 nucleotides) under uncultured bacterium. RNAcentral describes it as "partial 16S ribosomal RNA". It matches the Rfam family "Bacterial small subunit ribosomal RNA", at positions 28 to 523 of the family's 1533-position model. The record is from RNAcentral.